AGAUUGAACGCUGGCGGCAUGCCUUACACAUGCAAGUCGAACGGUAGAGUAGCAAUACUUGAGAGUGGCGAACGGGUGAGUAAUAUAUCGGAACGUGCCCAGUCGUGGGGGAUAACGUAGAGAAUUUACGCUAAUACCGCAUACGAUCUAAGGAUGAAAGCGGGGGACUCGCAAGAGCCUCGCGCGAUUGGAGCGGCUGAUAUCAGAUUAGGUUGUUGGUGAGGUAAAAGCUCGACCAAGCCGACGAUCUGUAGCUGGUUUGAGAGAACGACCAGCCACACUGGGACUGAGACACGGCCCAGACUCCGUACGGGAGGCAGCGAGUGGGUAAUUUUGGACGAAGUGGGACGAAAGCCUGACUCCGAGU
RNAcentral lists this ribosomal RNA (367 nucleotides) under uncultured soil bacterium. Its description in RNAcentral is "bacterial SSU rRNA". It matches the Rfam family "Bacterial small subunit ribosomal RNA", at positions 26 to 392 of the family's 1533-position model. The record is from RNAcentral.